This 255-nucleotide ribosomal RNA is filed under the name uncultured bacterium. RNAcentral describes it as "partial 16S ribosomal RNA". It matches the Rfam family "Bacterial small subunit ribosomal RNA", at positions 524 to 776 of the family's 1533-position model. The record is from RNAcentral.
UACGUAGGGUGCGAGCGUUUAAUCGGAAUUACUGGGCGUAAAGAGUGCGUAGGCGGUUUCUCAAGUCCGCUGUGAAAUCCCCGGGCUCAACCUGGGAAUGGCAGUGGAAACUAGGAGACUUGAAUCUGGGCAGAGGGGGGUGGAAUUCCACGUGUAGCAGUGAAAUGCGUAGAGAUGUGGAGGAAUACCGAUGGCGAAGGCAGCCUCCUGGGCCAACACUGACGCUCAUGCACGAAAGCGUGGGGAGCAAACAGG